GGAGAGAUGGCUUAAAGGGGUGUGUGACCUCUUUCACGAGCUGCUCCAGGAUGGAAAUGAGUCUGAUCAGGCUGUUGGCGGGGAAAUACCCCGCCAAACCAGUAACCAGUACGGGCCUUGAGAGAGGGGGCCCGGAGAUGGACACUGAGAGAAGGGUCCAGGUCCUACGGGGCGCAGCAGGCGCGAAACCUUCGCAAUGCGCGAAACUGACGAGUUAAUCCGAGUGCUCCCGCUGAGGGGAACUUUGUCGGCUGUAAAUAGGCCGGCGAAUAAGGAGAGGGCAAGUCUGGUGUCCCCCGCCGCGGUAAUACCAGCUCCUCGAGUGGUCGGGCGAUUAUUGGGCCUAAAGCAUCCGUAGCCGGUUCUGUAGGUCCUCUGUUAAAUCCAACGGCUUAACCGUUGGCCCGCAGAGGAUACCGCAGGACUAGGAGGCGGGAGAGGCAGACGGUACUCUACGUGUAGGGGUAAGUCCUUUGAUCCGUCAAGACCACCAGUGGCGAAGGCGGUCUGCCAGAUCGCGCUCGACGGUGAGGGAUGAAGCUGGGGGAGCGAACCGGAUUAGAUACCCGGGUAGUCCCAGCCGUAAACGAUGCCAGCUAGAUGAUUCGGUCGCAAUUCGCGAUCGAAGUGUCGCAGGGCAGCCGUUAAGCUCGCCGCCUGGGGAGUACGGACGCAAGACUGAAACUUAAAGGAAUUGGCGGG
Molecule: ribosomal RNA, 702 nt
Filed under: uncultured crenarchaeote
Lineage: Archaea; Thermoproteati; Thermoproteota
Description: bacterial SSU rRNA
Rfam family: Archaeal small subunit ribosomal RNA
Source: RNAcentral